Molecule: ribosomal RNA, 734 nt
Filed under: uncultured Streptococcus sp.
Lineage: Bacteria; Bacillati; Bacillota; Bacilli; Lactobacillales; Streptococcaceae
Description: bacterial SSU rRNA
Rfam family: Bacterial small subunit ribosomal RNA
Source: RNAcentral
UAGAACGCUGAAGAGAGGAGCUUGCUCUUCUUGGAUGAGUUGCGAACGGGUGAGUAACGCGUAGGUAACCUGCCUGGUAGCGGGGGAUAACUAUUGGAAACGAUAGCUAAUGCCGCAUAACAACAGUUGUUGCAUGACAGCUGUUUAAAAGGUGCAAUUGCACCACUACCAGAUGGACCUGCGUUGUAUUAGCUAGUUGGUGGGGUAACGGCUCACCAAGGCGACGAUACAUAGCCGACCUGAGAGGGUGAUCGGCCACACUGGGACUGAGACACGGCCCAGACUCCUACGGGAGGCAGCAGUAGGGAAUCUUCGGCAAUGGACGGAAGUCUGACCGAGCAACGCCGCGUGAGUGAAGAAGGUUUUCGGAUCGUAAAGCUCUGUUGUAAGAGAAGAACGAGUGUGAGAGUGGAAAGUUCACACUGUGACGGUAUCUUACCAGAAAGGGACGGCUAACUACGUGCCAGCAGCCGCGGUAAUACGUAGGUCCCGAGCGUUGUCCGGAUUUAUUGGGCGUAAAGCGAGCGCAGGCGGUUAGAUAAGUCUGAAGUUAAAGGCUGUGGCUUAACCAUAGUACGCUUUGGAAACUGUUUAACUUGAGUGCAAGAGGGGAGAGUGGAAUUCCAUGUGUAGCGGUGAAAUGCGUAGAUAUAUGGAGGAACACCGGUGGCGAAAGCGGCUCUCUGGCUUGUAACUGACGCUGAGGCUCGAAAGCGUGGGGAGCAAACAGGAUU